Molecule: unclassified non-coding RNA, 791 nt
Filed under: soil metagenome
Description: partial contains internal transcribed spacer 1, 5.8S ribosomal RNA, and internal transcribed spacer 2
Rfam family: 5.8S ribosomal RNA (bases 172-325)
Source: RNAcentral
CCUUUCAAUGCAGCAGAAUUGGGAUGGUUGAGUAUCUCGCCUCUCCGUUCUGCCUGUAUUCUACCCUUGUUUGUCAUAUACUAUUAUUUCCUCGGCAGGCUUGCCUGCCGAGUGAAACCAUUUAUAACCUUUUUAAUUUUCAAUCAGCGUCUGAAAAAAAUUAAUAAUUACAACUUUCAACAACGGAUCUCUUGGUUCCGGCAUCGAUGAAGAACGCAGCGAAAUGCGAUAAGUAGUGUGAAUUGCAGAAUUCAGUGAAUCAUCGAAUCUUUGAACGCACAUUGCGCCCCUUGGUAUUCCAUGGGGCAUGCCUGUUCGAGCGUCAUUUGUACCUUCAAGCUUUGCUUGGUGUUGGGUGUUUGUCCCGCGGGACUCGCCUUAAAGUAAUUGGCAGCCAGUGUUUGGUUUUGAAGCGCAGCACAAGUCGCGAUUCAAGGCUACACGCCCGCUUCCACAAGCCUUUUUUCACUUUUGACCUCGGAUCAGGUAGGGAUACCCGCUGAACUUAAGCAUAUCAAUAAGCGGAGGAUCGCGAUCUUGGUCAUUUAGAGGAAGUAAAAGUCGUAACAAGGUCUCCGUUGGUGAACCAGCGGAGGGAUCAUUACAGAGUUGCAAAACUCCCACAAACCAUCGCGAAUCCUACCCGUACGGUUGCCUCGGCGCUGGCGGUCCGGAAGGCCCUCGGGCCCCCGGAUCCUCGGGUCUCCCGCUCGCGGGAGGCUGCCCGCCGGAGUGCCGAAACUAAACUCUUGAUAUCUUAUGUCUCUCUGAGUACACUUUUAAAUAAGUCA